GUAUGAUUGGUGACUCAUAAUAACUUUACGGAUCACAAUUAAUGUGACAUAUCAUUCAAGUUUCUAACCUAUCAGCUUUAGACGGUAGGGUAUUGGCCUACCGUGGCAAUGACGGGUAACGGGGAAUUAGGAUUCGAUUCCGGAGAGGGAGCCUGAGAAACGGCUACCACAUCUAAGGAAGGCAGCAGGCGCGCAAGUUACCCAAUCCUAAUACAGGGAGGUAGUGACAAGAAAUAACAAUACAGGACUUUUUGGUUUUGUAAUUGGAAUGAGUUAAGUAUAAACCCCUUUACAAGUAUCAAUUGGAGGGCAAGUCUGGUGCCAGCAGCCGCGGUAAUUCCAGCUCCAAUAGCGUAUAUUAAAGUUGUUGCAGUUAAAAAGCUCGUAGUUGGAUUUCUGUUAAUAAUUUAUAUAAAAUAUUUUGAUGAAUAUUUAUAUAGUAUUAACAUAAUUCAUAUUACUAUUUUUUUUAGUAUAUGAAAUUUUACUUUGAGAAAAUUAGAGUGCUUAAAGCAGGCAUAAGCCUUGAAUACUCCAGCAUGGAAUAAUAUUAAAGAUUUUUAUCUUUCUUAUUGGUUCUAAGAUAUGAAUAAUGAUUAAUAGGGACAGUUGGGGGCAUUUGUAUUUAACAGUCAGAGGUGAAAUUCUUAGAUUUGUUAAAGACAGACUAAUGCGAAAGCAUUUGCCAAGGAUGUUUUCAUUAAUCAAGAACGAAAGUUAGGGGAUCGAAGACGAUCAGAUACCGUCGUAGUCUUAACCAUAAACUAUGCCAACUAGA
Molecule: ribosomal RNA, 778 nt
Filed under: Cryptosporidium parvum
Lineage: Eukaryota; Apicomplexa; Conoidasida; Eucoccidiorida; Cryptosporidiidae
Description: SSU rRNA
Rfam family: Eukaryotic small subunit ribosomal RNA
Source: RNAcentral